RNAcentral lists this transfer RNA (76 nucleotides) under Clostridia bacterium. RNAcentral describes it as "tRNA-Thr". It matches the Rfam family "tRNA". From Rfam's summary of the family: Transfer RNA (tRNA) molecules are approximately 80 nucleotides in length. Their secondary structure includes four short double-helical elements and three loops (D, anti-codon, and T loops). Further hydrogen bonds mediate the characteristic L-shaped molecular structure. tRNAs have two regions of fundamental functional importance: the anti-codon, which is responsible for specific mRNA codon recognition, and the 3' end, to which the tRNAs corresponding amino acid is attached (by aminoacyl-tRNA synthetases). tRNAs cope with the degeneracy of the genetic code in two manners: having more than one tRNA (with a specific anti-codon) for a particular amino acid; and 'wobble' base-pairing, i.e. permitting non-standard base-pairing at the 3rd anti-codon position. The record is from RNAcentral. Lineage: Bacteria; Bacillati; Bacillota; Clostridia.
GCCACUAUAGCUCAGUUAGCAGAGCAACAGAUUCGUAACCUGUAGGUCGGGAGUGCAAUUCUCCCUAGUGGCUCCA